Molecule: long non-coding RNA, 1124 nt
Organism: Mercurialis annua (annual mercury)
Lineage: Eukaryota; Viridiplantae; Streptophyta; Magnoliopsida; Malpighiales; Euphorbiaceae
Exons: 3
Source: RefSeq, a predicted model, not a curated record
CUACACUGCGUCCAUUUACGAAUAUCUGACCCUUACUCAUGGUGUACAUAUCUAAACCUAACGGAUCGUUUCCUGGUGGCGCCUCAAAGUAAUCUGUUUUAUCUCCUGUAACAAACUUCUGCUCCCAAAGGCCAUCUUUGGUAAAUGUACCAGGUGCAAAACCAGUGGGAAUUUCAUCAAUGUGUGACUGCCAAGAAAAUUUAGUUCCAGUAGGCAUCAUCCACAUCUGUGUGCUUUGGGCACUCAUCUGUACAAAAAUCAGCAGAAAGUAUUAAAAAUUAUAUUCUAUUAAAUAGUAUGAAGAACUUAAAUAUUGAGAGGAAGCAAAAGGGUAUUUCUUACCUUUGCAGUGUUAAAAACUACAGUCUUGCAAUCAGGGAGAAUACUGAUAGACCAACGCGGUAGCCAAUAUGGUUUAGUCCAGAAGUUAACGUUUGCACCAUAUUGGGAGUCGUAGUUUGCCAAGAAUGCUGCACAUCCUGCCUUUGAUUGGAACACAUGAGCCUGAAAACAAUUACACAGAUUAGAAAGAAAACCAAAGUAAGAAAUUCUAUCUACAUCUUGCUAUUUUUGGAUUUGGUUUUACCUCUUGGUUUUUACCAAGUGAUAUAAUUUGAGGAUCUACUGAUACUAGAGCAGCCUGACUCUGCUUGAGCACUCUGUGAAGGUCUCUCAAAUGUCCCCACUUUGGAUCAUGUGGUAAUCCUGGUUCAGAAAUAAAUAUGUAAUUUUACUAUAUCAGCUUUGAAACUUUUGGUUUGGCAAUUAGUGAUGUGUUGUUUAUACAGAUAUGUUAUGCUUGAAUUAAGUGUAUUUGGAGUUUUUAAUAAUGUUGUAUGAAAGUGUUUUGAUUUUGUAGGAUAUGCAUGUUUGGAUAGAACAAAAACUAAGAAGGCGAAAACACGAAGAAUAUACAAAAAAGAAGAAAAUUUCCUGCUUGCUCGAGCAAAGCAUUACCGUAUUCAUCUAGAGGUAUCAAUCUGCACAUCAUCAGAUAGAAGAAACAAGAAACAUGAGCAAUGUUUUACUGCAACUUCUCGAGUUUUAUAUUUUGGCUUUUUUCAUUUCUGAGAAUGCUUCUAUAAUUUCAAAAUUCUAUAUCUAUAAAGAUAUUCUUAUGAAAA